This 229-nucleotide ribosomal RNA is filed under the name uncultured bacterium. RNAcentral describes it as "partial 16S ribosomal RNA". It matches the Rfam family "Bacterial small subunit ribosomal RNA", at positions 568 to 796 of the family's 1533-position model. The record is from RNAcentral.
UACGUAGGCGGAAAAUUAAGUCAGUGGUGAAAUCCUGCAGCUCAACUGUAGAACUGUCAUUGAUACUGAUUUUCUUGAAUACAGUUGAGGUAGGCGGAAUAUGUAAUGUAGCGGUGAAAUGCUUAGAUAUUACAUAGAACACCGAUUGCGAAGGCAGCUUACUAAACUGUGAUUGACGCUGAGGCACGAAAGCGUGGGGAGCGAACAGGAUUAGAUACCCUGGUAGUCC